RNAcentral lists this long non-coding RNA (231 nucleotides) under Solanum tuberosum (potato). RNAcentral's name for it is "long non-coding RNA (STUB_LNC009717)". Lineage: Eukaryota; Viridiplantae; Streptophyta; Magnoliopsida; Solanales; Solanaceae. The record is from RNAcentral.
AAAAUCUCACAACUUUGCCUUUUGAAUCACCCAAAUCGGUUGAGAGAUGAGAGAGAGAUAAGGGUUUGAAGUUUGGGAAAAUUGGCUGAUUUUCUGCAAUUUAUUGCAGAAAUUUCUGCAAUUUCCCAAAACUAAAAACUCCGACGGGGUGCUCCGAACUCGUUCGGAACCCCGUGCACGCAAACGAGAUAUGCAAUCAUAUCAAAUUCGAUAUUCCAGACUCAACGGCGC